Anas platyrhynchos (mallard) is the source of this 8007-nucleotide non-coding RNA. The record is from RefSeq and is a predicted model, not a curated record. Lineage: Eukaryota; Metazoa; Chordata; Aves; Anseriformes; Anatidae.
GCAGCAGUAAAACGGAAUAUGGAUAACUCAUUUGCUAUUUUUAGGGAAAAACCACUAGAGUAUUUCACUCCAGCGGCUUUAAGUUACAGUCAUUUUCAAGAGAAGAGCUGUGAGAUUUCUGCUGCUGUUGAAACAGUUAGAAAGAGAAGCUUAGCAAACACGGUGUGCCCUGGGAUACCGGCUUUGUAGGGGUGCUGAUGAGAAACUUCGAGCAUUUUCCUACGGAAUUACAUUUUUCUCUCCCUGUGCUCCGGACAGAGCAGAGACCUCUGGCUGACCAACAGGGGUUUCAACACAAAAUGUGCUAUGACGAGCCAUGCUAGAUCUGCUUUUUUAUUUAAGUCACAAAUGCCUCCAAGGCUGGUGUAUUUCUGGGUAGAUGACUGACCAUGUGCCUUAUAAGCAAAGCCAGCAGAAAUCAGAACUCCUCUCAUCUCCGCCUGGAGCAAAGAUCUUCACGCAGUUGACCGCGCUCCUUCUCGCUGAGCCAGGCUCCUGCCUGGUAUAAUUCAACGUUUUUCCAUUGGUUUAAUCCACGAUUCCAAAAUACAUUGACCAGGGAGACUAGAAGCUCUCCGCUGCCAACCUCCCCCAGGAGCACUGCCUGGCACUGGAUGUGUUUAUGCUCUGGUGCUGGGGAAGUGGCCCCAUAGUCCCCACAGCCCCAUGAUGGCUUUGUGUGGUGCCCUGGUGGACUCUGCACUUUAACACCAGGCAAGACACUGGCCUACAGUAGUAAUUCAUGUAUUUUGUCAAUGGCACAUUAUAACAAAAAGUCAUCAGUUUCAGCUUAAUGUGCCAUCCUCCUAUUUCUAAGUAAAAGAGAGAUCAUAAAGUCCUCAGGGAGAAAGGUUGUGAGUAAUAGCAGUGGCACAGGGCCUGCAGCCUAGCCAGCAUGCCAAACAAUAUUCCAAGAAAAUAUUUCUAAGUUACAGAAGUUGUGUAACAGUGAUUAUUAUUUUUAAAGCACAGAGUAUGAAGACCAGUUUCUAAAAAAGCAAACACAUAUUUUUAGCCUUGCUGGUCUCUUGAUCCUACACUAAUGGGAACCAUCUGCGCUGGGACUGGCUGACGUUCCUGGUAAAUAACAUUUUGCUGCAACAUUCCAGAUGUUUCAAAGGCUUCUUUGCAAAGAAGUGUUUGUCUCUCUGCCUGUCACUCUCACUUUCUGUCUUUCCUGCCCAUGUUUACUUCAGUAAUAUAUAUUCUUUUAUUAAAACAGCUUUUGUUAAAAAUAGCUUGUCAGAAUUUUGGCAAAUCUUCAUUAUGAUCCCUGCUUGCUAGCUGAGUUUGAAAGCUUUAGUUCCGUAGUGUUAAAGUCUAAAUUGAAGACUCGAGAAGGAACCUGGAAGAUUUAGACAAGAAAACACAGUAAAAAUAUUUGGAGAUAGAUUUCUACCUCAUUGUGAUCCCCCUGAGGAUUCCAGCUAUUGAAUACAGAUACAUUUAUUCUGGAAUUGAGAGUUUUUAAUGUGACAAACUGUUAUGGAAUACACAGAUGUACUUUAUAGCAACCAGACACUUCCCUACAAAACCUUUGCAACUCAUUAUGUAAAAGAAUCCUGUGGUUUGCUUUGCUUCCUCUGCUGUGCUAUAUUCUGGAGGUGACUGCCUUUCCUACGUGAAUGAAAACAUCCCUACACACAAGGGUCACUUUUUUAUCCCAGCUGAGCUAAGCUUAGCCAGAAGGGUAGAAAGAAAAUAAGGGGAUUUUAAACCAUCCUUUAGCCUGGCCGUUACCUCUGCCUAGAGUCUGCCCCAAACCCGGUGUGUUACAGCUUCAUUAACGCUGUAGCUUAGGCUCAGGCACAAUUAGAUAAGAAGAGAUGUGUUUCCAGUGUCAAACCUCCUACUCAGGUCUCUAACAGAGCGUCUGCAUCACCAGCUGAUGGUACGAUCCUCGGCAGCAAUGAAGCCUUAGUCAAGUACUCUCCAGUGGGCAAAUCAUUUAUUUUAAAAAACUUUGUCACAGCCGAAGUGUAAAAGCUCUAGAGGGUGAAGAAAAAUCUGUCUUUUGGUUUCUGAAGCACCCGGUGCUGUAAGCUCAGCAGUGGCAGGGACAUGGCUAUUGCAAUUGAAGCAAACUUUUCGCUUCUCCCAGGGACAGGGACACGCGGCAGAUCUGAGCGAUUGCAGUGCUGCUAGGAAGCUGCCUCUUUGUUCUUUUGUUAUCCGUUAUCACAUUUGUUUCAUAACAAAGGCUUCCUGAGCUUGGGGGUUUUGUGUGUGUUAAUACUGGUAAUAUGAUUUAAAUAUUCUGAUGAUUCAUUUUCAGUCCAGUGAGCUGAAUCAGCCGUGUAGAACAUAACUUUCUUCUCCCAAACCGCUACCUUUUCCAUCCUUUCUCGUCAUUUCUAUAAGAGGAUGAUUCAUGCUCCUCUUGUAUUUACCAUCUGAGAAUGUGCAUGAUUCCUUUAGCUAAUUUCCCUUCUUGUUCCUCUUUUUGUUUUAAAAAAUAUGAGUGUGAAGGCAAGCAAAGCGAUUGCUGAUUGAUGUGAUCUGUCCCACUGGAGGUCCUGGCAUGUGAACUAAAAACCUGAACUGAACAGAGACAAAACAGAAAGGAAAAAUACUUUGAAUUACUGCAUUUACCAGAGCCCAUACUGUGAAAUUUAGCCUUUGGCCCACAUUUCACAUGUUUUCAAAAUUCUGCGUGUUCAAGCGAGAUGUUGUGUUCAAAUGUGACUCCAGUGUAGUGAUCUUAUUGUCGUUUGUUUAGAAGAAGCCCCUUUCUUUAUUUAGUUAUCCUACUCUAAUUUGUUUUCUCUGAAGCCUGAUCGUAGCUGUGAGUGGCUCAAUAAAACCCGGCGGGGGGCUGAUUAUUGAUUUAUCUGGUUCCAUGAGGGAGCCGCCUGUUCUCAGUAGGGGUGUAUAAGAACACAAGGAAAUCUUUACGGUGGGGCUCUGGAAAACACCUGGGCUGUCAUUCCCCCCUCUCUGCCUAAGACACCGCAAUAACGAUCCUAAAACCUGGGGGCGUUUUCCUCCCACCUCUCGCAACUCGGACCCAAGGCAGGCGCUACCAGUGGCAGGGGGCAGAUGCUGAGGCACUCGGGAUGCCUCGUCCCUGCCACAUGUCCCCAGGGACAAGGAUGCUUUUAUCCACCUGCUUGUGUAGUCCAGGGGCUGCCAAACUGGCAGAAAAGCCUCCCUUGACCCUCAACCCCUCUCAUUUCAGGGCUCCCCUCACCCCACUGCGUUUACAGGCUUCCUUCUCGCUUAAUGAGGAAGGGAGGUUUUUUUUUUUACACUGCAGCAGUUGUAAAAAAAUACUCUCUAAGAAGCGUCUUAGUGUGAGAGUCCCUUUGGCUGGGCCUCUCUCUGAACAGAGCUGAGCGCUUUGCGCGGCGGCCGAGGUGAAAUCACAGCUUGUGACGGGCUCCAAGAGCCACAGUGUGGCUGCCCCCCCCCCCCGCAGAAACGCCCCAUGUUUGGGCAAAUUCAUUUCAGCCAGCUCUGCCGUAUGACUUCACUUCUUAUUCAUCCCUGUCAAGAAACAGUUUGUCCAACGCUUCGGAGAAAGCCAGCGCGAAUAUUUCCUAAACUCACCUGAGGGGAGGAGGUUUCACAGCAAGGCAAUGCCUCAGGUUUGGGGUUUUGAUAAAACAAAACAGUUUUUUGUGUUUUAUUAAGUCAAAUGGGGCAUGAGCAACGCGGACAGGUCCUGGGUGGCUGUGACAAGGCGUUUCAUGGACAAAGAAAUGGGUCAUUAUAUGCCUCUCCUGAAUUUCACAGUGUGUCCCACUUGAGGUGACUGACGCUCAGAGGACACUGCACCGUGACUCACUCCGUCCCAUAUGUUCUCAUAUACUUCUGAAAACAACACAGUGGGCCAAAGUUUGGCUUUUUCCACAGCCUAAAGGUUUUCGUAUUCAAAACAGGCAAGUUAUUCUCUCCUAUGACUAACACUGUGUUUUCACUAACCGCUGUUACACACAAACAUCACCUCACUCUAUCACAUGAGAGAAUCAUGUCAUAUUGCAAAUAUUUUAACAAACUGCAUAGCAGAAAAUGAAUAAGCAGUUCUGUAUUUACUGAUAGGGGGAUAUUUUUUAACAGUUAUGAAUUAAAUACAAAGACUGGCUAUGAAUUAAAUACAAAGACUGGCUAUAAACACCUUGGAAACUAUACUAAAAAAGCACAGAAAAAAUAGAUGAACACUGAGACGCAGAUGGAGCAUGUGUAAUGUAACACACACUGGCAUUUCUUUGUGCUUUUAUUGCUUUAAAUGCUUCUCUAUUUUUUUAUGUCUACCCUUAUGAAGUGUACUCUUGGGUCUCCACUCUCCAGAGUCCAAGAACACGGGAGCUGUGAUUUUUGAUAGCAGAAACCUUACCCCAUACAGUUUUAUAUUCCUGCUUGUUGUUUUUUCAGUGCCAUUGGGCAGUGAGGCAAAUGUCGGGCUGAUGGAGAGGAAACUGGUGUGGGUAAGUCCUGGGAGCACGCCACGAGAGCCCGACGUCUGCAUUCCUGCCCCUAUCAUGGGACAGCAGAGGCAGGCAGGAGCACCUUCCGCAGCUGUUAGCCCUGACAGUCCUCCAGCCUUCCACGCUGCCUCUAUCCACCCAUGGUUAUUCCUGUGUUGGAGCAGUCGGGUAUGCACGGGGCUCUGGGCACAAAGCUUGUUCCCAGACAGGGUCUUUGUGCUGGGGAAGUCCCACAGUAGCAGGUUGUGCUGGCUUUGCAGACCCUUGCACCAGCAAGCUGCUGGGAAGAUGCAGCUGUGGUGAUGGAGAACAGGUUUGGGCUCCCUCCAGGACAGGUAAGGAGAUGCCAGACUCUGGCUGUAUCCCUGCCUUAAUGGGCACAACCCAAAAUAACCCUGACCAGCCCCUCCACCUCCCUGAUGGUUACUGUGUGCCGUGUGCAUUUAUGAUGCCUUCAUCUCGCUGUAAAGAUAACACAGAUAAGGAGAACAGAAGAACAACCUGCAAAUUGCAGUGCCUCAGCAGCUCUUAUCUCAAUCUUUAUGAGAGCUGAUGGUUCUGGGAAUUGGAAGCUCAUACAUAGUCACUGCGCCCACAAAACACUGACAUCACAUGACUGGCAAUAAACCGUGGCUCACAUUUCUGGAGAGCAGAGCACGCCUCUCCCUGCCUCUCGAUGCAAGGUACGUCAUUUGUUUUCUAUUCAAAUUCGCCCUCCUCCCACAGAAGCCUUGCCUCGCCAUCCUAGCCAUUAGACAAUGUUAUUGAGAAAACACUCGCUCGGGCGGUAGGAAGAAUAAUUUCCCAUAAGUGUAUUUUGCUAUAGAUUUAAUACCUUUCAUCUCGAAAUAUGAGAACCUUAUGAAUACAGUGAUUUUAUUGAAUAAAUACCCUCAUGCCUGGUGCAUGUCAUGAUUCAUAGCAGAUUAAUAGAAGCAAUUAAAUAUAAGAUUAAAUUGCUUAAACCAUUUGCCCUACUAAGCUGAUCCUGGUGCUGAGAACUGUAUCAGUGCCACUAAUUCCCAGAGAUUUUCCUUCGGAGGCAGUUAUUUAAUGAUUUUGAAUAUCAAAUCCAUGGUAUCCCAGACUGGCUGCCUAAUGCCUGUAAUCAUGUUAAAACGCAGCACUAAGCAACUUGCCCAAGGCACUUCAGUGAGUCACUGGAAGAGAAAGCAGAGCUCCUGCCUCGCGUUAGCUGCUCGAGCAGACGCAGAGACACUUGCAGAAUGACGAUGGGGGACAAUCCCUGCGGCAGACUUCCCAAAUGCCUUGGGUUUCAGGCCAUGAGGUGCCAUAUGCUGGGCCCUGGGACAGCCACACACACACAGGUAUUAGGUUAUAUGAUGCCAGGCUCGCUGUCUGGGCACCUCGGCUCGUGCAACUAAGGGCAGCUGCAGAGCUGAUGGCAAGCCCCAGCUGCAGCGCAGGGCUGCCUUGGUGGGCUGUCGUGUUUUGGAGCCAGCAGCCCCCAGCCCUGCAUUACAAAUACAGCAGGGAAAGGCCUGAGUGGGGAGUGGGGAGCCCCAGAAGGAGCGUUAGGGAUGCAGCAUAGGCAGACAGGCACCCAUCACCCGAGUGUGGGCUCUCGCCCCUCUGCUGCCCAGAGCCUGCGAGCAGGAGGCAGCCACUGGUUGGGGACGGGCAGGAAAACAGAGUGGACAAAAUUUUUUUUCCAUUCCUCAGUUGGACAUGUAUACCCAAGACAUGCCCUCAGUGAAAAUACCCAGGCUGCUCCCCAACCACUUUGCACUCAGCAAGGACCAGUUGUGCCUCCAAUGUGGCACACAGAAGUAAGGCCAUGCACAGCAGGUUUGCAGGCUGUCUCCAGCAGUGGGGCCCAGCCCCGAUCCGGCUUUCGUGUUGUCUGGGCUGGCCCUUCUGCCUCCUCGGUCCCCCUCCUCAUCGCCUCUCGCAUGCAGGAUCUGAGGCACCCUGAGCUCAACAAACCCUGGCAAAGGGGCUCAAUCGCAGGAUUUAAAGGCAUUAAAAAUGCUGUUUUCAUUGCAAUAUGACUCAUCGGUAAUUCUAUAUUGUUCAUACGCUGUUUGUUGUAACCUUUCGUCACUGAAUCCUUUCUGUGUCUCAUCGUUCUUUUUUUUCUGUUCUUUCUUUUGCUGACUCUCCCCCUAUCUUUCCUUUUUCCUUCUGUUUCUUAUGACUUUGUGCCUCUACAAAGUCCAAAUAUUUACAAAAGGAAACGCUGGGUUGUGAAACUGAAUUCGGAGAAAAUGUUACACAUGCAGAAGAAAUGCAUCCAGCACGGUUUCCAAAUUUUCCCACAUGAAUUUUUGUUCUCUGUCUCAAGUGCUGAGGCUCGGUGCUCCGUAUCUUUAUUCAGGCAAAACUUGCACCGAGAGCAGUGAGACGCAGGCUGGGGUCAGGUCCAACGGUGCUGUCAUCCUGGGUUGGCUGGAACGGUUCAGGGCUGAUUUUGGCCAUGGGUGACUGGUUAAAAGGCCCGAGCAGCCAGUUUUACCGGUUAACCAGCUUGUGCAAUGGGCCAGUUCCAGGCUAGGGGUUAUCUACGCUUGUCACCAAGUUGCUAACAAAUUGGCACCGGUGUCAGGCCGUGCAGAAGCUGUCCGCAGCCCUCAGUUUAUCCCCUCGCAGAUAAACAUCAGCCAGGCUGCACCAGGAGACCCGCAGCCUCUGAAGGAAGCCUGGCAAGGUCCCCAGCCGGGCUGAGAAGACGACAGCGCGCUCAGCUACGGCAUUAUGAUGAAAUUGUCAGGGAAUUAUUUUCCCAAGAAGUCCCUAAUCCCACGAGCGGAGGAUCACACUCAUGGGCCUUUCAUGUCGUUAUGGACUUGUAAAUAUUUUGGCAGAGGAACAUGGGAACUGCUCAGGCCCAGGGAAUAAAGGAGGGCCGCAGCAACGCUGCAGCGGGUCCCAUCUGCUGAAAGAAAAGCAUCGCCUUGCACCCCCACCCUCGGGGGCAGCACUGCCGUCGUUUCUAUUAUUACCUUUACAAUGUCAUUGUGGCCCAAGUGCAAACACGGAUUUGUUUUGGAGGAAGGGGUUAAUUUUGUCUUUCCUGCCUUUUGUUAAGACAGGAAAUCAAGCCCUUAAGAAAGUCAUUCAGGUCAGGCUGAGCUCCUAAAAGGCACUUCAGUCCUGCUUUGUAUUUUCCUUUCUUUCAUUCUUAUGGCAGGUUUAUUUAAGAAAAGAAAACAAAAAUAGAGUAAAGCAAGGAAAUAGCUAGUCCAGGAUUAUAAGUGAUUAAAUGCACACUGCCACAUGUGAUUAAUUUUUUUCUUCCUGAUUUGCGCUGGGUGUAAACAAGAGCAGAUUCAAAAGUCCCGUAAUUAAAUAAGUCCAUCAGAGAGCGAUUAGCAUCGCUGCGUGCUCUCGCAGAGGCAGAUUCCCCUUGCGCAAAGGCCUCGGCUGAACAUUUUCCCUGUGCUGGCUUAGAGCAGCCGAGGCACCUGGCCCAGGGUGCCCGGCCCACAUUCGAUAUUUGCACCAAGCCAGCUGGCAGCAUGGCUGGCACGGCGGCUGCCACAAGAGCACGAUGCCCACCUGCACAGGGGGCACCCACGGCAAUGUUGUUAAACUUGGGGAAAACUGAGGAUGCCAAACA